UAACAGCAUGGCAGAGAUGAAACCACAACUCUGAGAAAAACUAACCUUACUAAUAACUUCACCAGAAGGACCCCCCCACUCUCUUGAUUCGCUUGAGACAGAGAAGAGACGUGAAGAAAGAGAUGCUACAUUUGUGGAUGAUAACAGGGCGGACCUCAUUCAGAGGGUUACCACGGUGAAACUCAUAGCAGAAACACUUCUCCAGUGGCGUAUGAUCCACAAAGAGGCGUACCUUAAGAUCCUUGCUGCCCAGACCACACCAGAUCAGAUGAGGGAGCUGUACAACGUCUUAAACACAGACAAAGUCAAAUCAGCCUUCUAUAGGCUCCUUCAGAAGGAAGAGCCUUAUUUGGUCCAGGUGCCAGGUAGGUUAUACGGUCUGAUGUACCACGGCUGUCAUCCAAUCAGAAUUAAGGGCUCGAACCACCCAUUUUAUGUCUGAUAUACCACAGCUUUUAACCAAUCAGCAUCCAGAACCCAAACCACCCAGUUUAUAACAACGAUAAUAUUAUAAUACAUGAAGGCACAAUUUAUAGUACAAUAUGUACGUGUGUUUUGUAAAUUGUGCACAGUAUUUAGCAAUAAUAAUUAACCAGUUGUGAUGUGUGAUGUGUAAUGUGUAAUGUGUGAGUGUGAGU
Long non-coding RNA from Oncorhynchus tshawytscha (Chinook salmon), 638 nucleotides. The record is from Ensembl. Lineage: Eukaryota; Metazoa; Chordata; Actinopteri; Salmoniformes; Salmonidae.